AUAAAAAAUAAAAAUAAAGAAAAUUUAAAAAAGCCCCGGCUUUCCUCACAUAAAAAGCGGCCUCCGUGAGUGUCUCUUUUAGUGUCUUGCAUGUAGCAGUUGGUAGCGGAACUGAGUUUUCGCGCUGCUUGAGGGCCGCCUCUCUCUCCUCACACUUUGGAACAGCCGGAAGUCCUGCCUGGCCGGACCACGGCUUGGCCUUCCUUCAGCGGCGUCAGGUGCCGCGCGUCGUGGCUGUGGGGACGCGGGCGCCUCUUGCUGGUCCAGGCCAACGCGGCCAGGGGAGGUUGGAAGCGGAGGCCGCGACACCAGGCCAGUGCCACGCGUGACGGACCCUGCCCGGCCCAGUGACCAGUGAGCGCCGGCGCCGUCCGUGUCCCCGUCUGUUCUCAGCGUCGUCUGCGGGACACACAGACACAGACAGAAGGGAAAUCGGAGGCAGCCCAGCGAGGCGACGCAGGAAUGCAGCCCUCAGGCUGGGGAACCCGGGCCCAGAGCUGCUGGGAGCAGACAGGAGGGCCACAGCGGGUUGUGUCGUGCCAGACAAGCGAGUGUAGACGACAAGAGAACAAAGCACCACAGAGAGGACAGCUCUGAAGAUGGUGAUAAAAAUCGUAUUUGAGAAGGAGAGUCCACAAUAGAGAUGGAGUAAAACUGAUACUCCAAAAAACAAAAACAAAACAAAAACCCCUGUAGAAUAAACUGCAAAUGAGCCGUGGAACAGAACUCCCACGCCAGGAAAGUAUGGCAGGAGAGGGCCGGAGGUGAGUACAGAUUCUAAUUGAAAAGAAAAAAGCAGCAUCCGCCAUGGGGGAGCCAGACGUGCCGAGCACAGGUGAAUCCCGUAUCACUCACCUGCUACCACACUUGCUUGGAUGAACCCCAGCUCUGAUGUGACAUGAAGUCUGCUUGAGGGAAUGCUCCUAACUGAAAGAUUUUGGGAAGCUCAAAAGAAGGUCUUUGCACCUCCAUGGUGGUGCUUAGAUAACUAACUGGCCCUUCUUCCAAAGGAGGAGUCUAUGAAAAUUUGGAGACACAGGAACAUUUGGAAACCCAGAAAAAUGCUUCCUUAGCCACAAACGUGGUUUUUAGAGGAGGCGUCCCAUGCUAGUGUCUGAUGAAGCAGGAGUGCCUGACCAGGACAACAGGGCCUCAGGACUUGUCACGGAGGACAGUCAUGUGUGCAUAUUCACGAGCUGCCUCCUAUCUGGAUUUUUUUAAAACUAGCUGCGGGUUUGGAGGAAGGAUUUGAUGUGCAUCAUGCCACUGGAUAACAGCUACUACUUCAAACGCAGGGGAAGGGAGAAGUUCCUCCAGCCGGCAGGGCAGGUACCAUGCCUGUGACAAGGCAUGAGGUCUCUGGCCGGGACUUACAGUGCAGGGGCCAAGAAGGCAAAAGGACAUUCUCCACAGUUGCCGUCAGAAGCAGAAGGGUGGGGCUGUGGAUGACAGGCAUGUGGCCUCAGAAAUGAAGAGAGCCACCCACAAGCUUAAAAAGCAGGUCACGUUGCAGGUUGGCUGUCUAAAGAGAAAAGCUCAAAGCACUUUCUCUCUCAAUUUCAAAUGACUCCCCAAAGACAGACAGGGCUGGUAACAUUCAUCUUUGCUGCCUACACCAAGCACCAACUAUUUUCUUUUCAGUAGGACACCAUUCCAGGAACUUUUAUGAUUGAAAGGGAGAGGGCUAAAUAAUUCACAAAGCACAGAAGGGCUGCCGGUUUUUCUUCUGGGCUUUCUGGAAAAGGGAGCUCUGGAUGGCAUUGAGGUUGGCUCUGAGAAUAGACAAUUCAGAGAGACUCAGAAAAAGACUGUAGAGUGAAUGUGUUAUAGGUGUAUGUUGUGUGUGUGGUAUGUGUUGUGUGCUGUGUGCAUUUGUACAUUGUGUG
Molecule: non-coding RNA, 1886 nt
Organism: Microcebus murinus (gray mouse lemur)
Lineage: Eukaryota; Metazoa; Chordata; Mammalia; Primates; Cheirogaleidae
Source: RefSeq, a predicted model, not a curated record